GACGAACGCUGGCGGCGUGCUUAACACAUGCAAGUCGAACGGAAAGGCCCUGCUUUUGUGGGGUGCUCGAGUGGCGAACGGGUGAGUAACACGUGAGUAUCCUGCUCUUGACUUUGGGAUAACUUCAGGAAACUGGGGCCAAUACCGGAUAGGAGCCCCUGCUGCAUGGUGGGGGUUGGAAAGUUUCGGCGGUUGGGGAUGGACUCGCGGCUUAUCAGCUUGUUGGUGGGGUAGUGGCUUACCAAGGCUUUGACGGGUAGCCGGCCUGUGAGGGUGACCGGCGACAUGGGGACUGAGAUACGGCCCAGACUCCUACGGUAGGCAGCAGUGGGGAGUAUUACACAAUGAGCGGGAGCCUGUUGCAGCAACGCCGCGUGCGUGACGACGGCCUUCGGGUUGUGAACCGCUUUCGCCUGAGACGAAGCGUGAGUGACGGUAAUGGGUAAAGAAGCACCGGCUAACUACGUG
Molecule: ribosomal RNA, 468 nt
Filed under: uncultured bacterium
Lineage: Bacteria
Description: partial 16S ribosomal RNA
Rfam family: Bacterial small subunit ribosomal RNA
Source: RNAcentral